GUUGACCUGCUUGCAA
This 16-nucleotide ribosomal RNA is filed under the name Fusarium oxysporum f. sp. lycopersici. RNAcentral describes it as "partial 28S ribosomal RNA". The record is from RNAcentral. Lineage: Eukaryota; Fungi; Ascomycota; Sordariomycetes; Hypocreales; Nectriaceae.